This is a non-coding RNA of Falco peregrinus (peregrine falcon), 1629 nucleotides long. The record is from the annotation of a RefSeq genome assembly. Lineage: Eukaryota; Metazoa; Chordata; Aves; Falconiformes; Falconidae.
GAGAGUUUUUGUAAUGAAAUGUAUCACUGUGUCUAGGGGCUGGAGUUCCACAAUGAUAUAAACAACGUAGGGCCCUGUACAAAAACCUAAAGAAGGAAAAAGGCAAUAUAUUUUCAGGAAGAAAGAAGAUGGGUGACUGAAAUGAUUAAGGAGAUAAAUAUAGCAUUCUUUUCAUGUUUCUAUUUGUCCUGGAAAUACAGACCUCACAGGGUUUCUAAAAGCUGGAGGAAAGGGAGAACUUGGAAAUUCUGUACUCAAUCAAGUUAUUUGCAAUUAUUGAACUAUUCAAGUACUGUUUUUCCCUUUCUGGUUUUGGAAGAAAGUGUGGCUCUGGGUACCCUCAUGGAGUUGCAUAUGUUGAUAGUUAGGACAAAUAUCUGGCUUUUCAUCUCCUGUUUUUACAACACUUUUGAAAACCAUGAAGAAAGAGCUGUUUAUUGGAGUAAGUAUUAGCAGUGUGAGUGCAGAAAAGCUUUUAUUUGGAAGUGGGACCACUCUCACAGUUGAACCAAAUGAUGAAAAAAGUUCUGUCCCACAAGUCAUUGUGAUGAAAUCGAAGAAAGUAGAAGAUGACAGCAUUGGGAAAGCAGCUUGUUUGGCAAGGAAUUUCUAUCCAAAGAACAUCAGCUUGGAGAUGACCUCUAAUGAGGUUGUAUAUGAACAGAGUACAUCCAUUUUGACAUCAGAAGGGUUGUAUGAUACUAUUAAGGUGGUCAACGUGGCAAAAGACACAGGGGUGACCUGCAUGGCCAAAUUCAACAGCAGCACUAUUACAGCCAAUGCAACAUUGCCAGAAAAGGAGACUGAAGAACCAGUAACAGGGAACGUUUGCAACACCUCUGCUCAAGAUACCAAAGUGGAGAAAGCGAACAUGCUGUCUAUGGCUGUGUUGGGUUUGAGAGUCCUGUUGGCAAAAAGUAUUGCCUUCAAUACACUCAUGAGUAUCAAGUUGUUUCUUUUCUGAGACAGUGGGGAAGAAAGGCAACAGCAAUCUGAAGAACAGCAGGAGAGAGCAUGUACCAGCAGUACAACAGGUUGAACAGCUAACAUCAAAUCUGCUGACGAUAACCAUCCAGAAAACAAGGCACCUUCCUUUUAAGCCAUUUUAUACUGCUGAAUCCUGCAUAGCUAGUUUAUAUAGUUUUAAGAGUUGUAACUGCUUUUGCUAUUUCUUUUUCUCUGUGAACUGAGGAGAGUGUAUUCUUCCUCAUCCCCCUGCUAAACAGAAAUAGAUCUCCCCGCUUUUCUAGCCUUUGCAGAUAAUUAUCCAACCUACUUCAACAGUUUUGAAAAAUCCAAUCCUCACUGCAGAUAUGUGACCCUUUUAAAACACCUUUUGAAGGCAUGUUGCAUUGCUAUCUGUAGAAUUGAUGUAUUACUGAUUGGAGAAUUAAGGCACAGUAGAUGCUAAUUAUAGCUUUAAUGUUUUUUAGAUAGCUUUAAUAACAAUAAGUUUCUAGUGUAGAUGAGAAGACCUGUAUUGGAUCUGAAGUGAUUCAAUUCAACCAGACAAUGUUCAACCAUAGAAGCAUUUCUUUAUUAAACCUGUAUUUCUUUUGCAAAGCGUACAGCACAUGAGUUUUGGGUUACUGUAGUAAUAAGCAAAAUAAAGUUUUACUUGAGCCAAAA